AAUUUACAACACGACGAAAUAUUGCGGUUCCUGAAAAGAAAAAAAAUCAUCAUAAGAAAAGAAGACAUAGAUUUCGCAAAUCUAUGCGAUGGCGAAGACAAAAUGCUUUCAGUUUGUUUUAAAUGUCUGUUAACAGAGAAAUAUGGGUUAAACAACGAACCUCUGAGAUAGUUUUGGCGCUGUACAUGCGCAUACGUUAUUUUCGAUUCAAUCGUACUAGUUUAAACCGAUCUCUG
RNAcentral lists this long non-coding RNA (236 nucleotides) under Mytilus galloprovincialis (Mediterranean mussel). The record is from RNAcentral. Lineage: Eukaryota; Metazoa; Mollusca; Bivalvia; Mytilida; Mytilidae.